AACAAUAAAAUUGUUCAACCAAAAAAAAAUGAAUAGGGGCUUGCUCAAGCCCAACCCAUAUUUUACUGAUGAAGCCCAAUUUGUUCCCAACCCACUUUGGUGCUUGCCUGCAACUUCGGCGCUAUAAGUAUAUGAUAAAUUCGGUGGGCUAGGCGGAUGCUAAGUCCCGCUAGGCGUUUUUAGAACCGUGGUAAUAGUCGGGUAUGGGCCGGGGCCCCAAAACGAAUCUGUGAGCCAUUAGAAAUUGGCGCGAAAAUCAAUUCAGUCUCAAAUCUAGGGUUUCGCUGAUAUUGAAAACCCCCAAUCAUUUCAGGGCUUUCAUCUUUUUCUGCAAAUUUCAAAGGGCUUUUGCUUGACUAGGGAUGGCCUCACCACCAAGUCCAAAACGCAGGCGCAAGGACGAUGAUACAAAUGAAACGGCGGCAAAUUCGCCGGAGGAAUCAUCCCCUCUGGUAGUCUUUGCUCACGCCGCUGGUGCUCCCUCGUCUUCUGAUUGGAUAAUCAGGUCACUCUUAUCUCCAUCUUCUCUUGUUACCAUAAAUGAGAGGAAGAACAAGCAAAUGAAAUGUACAAUGUUUUGAGUUUUCUCUUUCAUCUCUGCGCAUGUUUGUUUUCUCUUUUGAGCAUACACAUGGGAUUUUCUCCAUCUUGUGGUAACUAGGAGAACAUCAUGAAGCUUAUUCAUUCAAGGGUAUAGAGAAACCGAAUUAUCUCGUAAUGAGGAAAAACCGAUGAAACAGUCCUAUGUAAACCAAACAAGACAUUACUACUCACUCAAUGGUUCAAAUAGUUUUCCAAGCUUGAUCAGUCCUAUUUAAACCAAACAAGACAAUAGUAUUCAGUAUUUACACGGUGGGUUCAAAUAGUUUCCAACUUUGAUCCUAGUACCCAUGACAAGUUUUUCCAAGAACAUUAAUCUAGAUUACAAAAUAGGAACUAGUACUUCCAUAGUCUCUUACAACUUUAAACACAAGUUCACAAUAACUACAUAUGAAAAUACAAGAAACACCAGAGGAUAUCUGCAAUGAAAAAAGAAAAAAAAAACUAAUACACCAGUCAAGAUGUAUGCAGGGGUGGAUCCAGCUUAGGGCCUGGUGGGGCUCAAGCCCAACCAAGGAUUUUUGGGUCAAAAAAAAAAAAAAUGUGUGUACAAUUUUUUUUGUGUGUGAUAUAUACCCAAGCCCAACUAAUGUUUUUUUUGUGAUAUACACUCACCCUAAUCCUAAAUCAUUUGAUUCUUUCUCUGUUAGUUGACGGCGAUGCCCAUCUCAUCUCAGCAUCUCUUCUCUCAUUCUCUCUUCCUCUCACUAUCUGACUGUCUCACAUCGACUCGCCUCCGACGGUCCCCCAACAUCUCUUCGCCUCCGGCGGUCAGGCACUCCGGCAGCAUCUCUUGAUUCUCUUCUCUUAGUCAACACUCAUCUCAGCAUCUCUUCUCCCAGUCCCUCCGGCGGCAUCUCUUCUCUCCGUCCCUCCGGCAGCAUCUCUUCCACCUCCGGGUGGUCCAGCACUCCGGCAGCAUCUCUUGAUUCUCUUCUCUUAGUCGACGCCCAUCUCAGCAUCUCUUCUCUCAGUCUCUCUAGUCAUUCUUUCUCCCUCUCACAACGACUCGCCUUCGGCCUCUCCAAUCUCCAUUCUUCAAUUUCUCAGUCCCUAUCAUCUCCAAUCUACAUGAUUGUAAGUGAGAUUAUUGAAUUUCAUAUGUAAAUUUCUUUGGUGUACUGUAUACAAUUUUCCCCAAUUUCUCAGCUGAGAUAUUUUAGUGUACCGUCGAGAUUCUCCACUUUUUUUUUUUUCUUGGUUAGAAAGUUCAAGCUCAACCAGGGUUGAAAUCCUGGAUCCGCCACUGGAUGUAUGUACUAUAAGUCUGCAGCAAAAAUGAACAAAUUACAUCCUCCAAUAUUGCAAAUGUGCCUUCCUGUUGAUGCUUCAAAUAAAGACGGCUAAAUUGGAAAAUGCACUAUUGCCCAAAUUAAAGCCAAAUUGGGAAGAAGCAUAAAUUGUAUGAACUAAAAUUUUCCAGGUGAAAUUAAACCAUUGUUGCAUCAAUCGUUCAAUAGUCACCUUACCUUCUCUUUCCCUCAGUAAGAAAUCGCAUUGUCCAUAUCAAGUAAGAGGAGGCUCUCUUCAUAAGAAUUGGCAGUGUUAUAACUGUAUCCACAUAUGCCAAGACAUUCCAAUUGCUGGCUAGCAAGGUCCAUUGAGAAUAGUUCAUACCCACGACAAGAAGAAUGCCUGGAACAUGAGUCUUUAGUCUUUUUGGACACUACCACACCACCUCUUUUCCUAAAACAUAAUGCUCCGGGGAGUCAUAUGGAUGGUCAAGUCUUAUCAAGUUGGUCCAAGAAUCAUGGAUGCCAUAUUCUUUCAUUUCCCAAAUUUCGAGAUAAGAAUCGACAGGAGCACAAAACAUGGCAAUUAAACCAAUGGAUUUUCUGUCUACUGGAACAGACAAUUGCAAUUUCAUUGGCAGAUCAUACACGAAUCUCCUUGGCAUCUUCAUCUCAGAAAAUGAGUUGCUGCCGAGGUCAAAUGCCACAAUAACAUAGUGAUAUUAAUCAUCAAUCCACCUCAAGGCGUGCCAGUGAAUAGCCCCAUUACAUAAACCUGGGGUGCGUCUUUUCUGAUUCGAAAAUCAUGAGUAACAUCAGUAACCGUGCUCCAAGCCCCUGUGGCUAGUGAAUAAACCUCAACUAAAGUUUAACAUCUGGGAAACUUCCUCUGAAAUUCAAAUGGCCUGCACUUGAGCUCAUCAACAGUGGCAAGCCUCACAACCUUAUAGUCAUUGGUCGUAGCAUCAAAACCGAAACCAAUAGAAGCUAUAUCGUAAGGUCUAAUAGUAGGCUCAGGAAGGGUCACAGACUUCCUUACAGACGGGUUCAAUACCACAAGUUUGUAGCCUCCAUGCCAUUCAUCAUUUGUGAGGCAAACCAGGCCAUUUCAAGUGCCCACCACACGGAAGCAUUCAUUUCCCCUACCCAUCUCACCAAGAGUUGUAAUUUCAAUCUUGCAGUACUCUUCAAAACUAGGGUCAUCAAAAUGCAAAGAGUAAAACUCCUCAACUUCACCUCCAGACGAACCGAGCAAUAACACAAGCCCGGGUCUUAUCAUUGAUCUCCAUGAUUUGCGCACGGCGGUGCAGAUGAGCAAACACCUAACGGGUAGUCUCAACAAGAUAUCAUGACUGAUUGCCGGAGGCAAAGAGUCCAGCAUCGCUUCACUGCAAUUUCCCAAAACAUACAGAGUAACAAACAUAUAGUCUCUACUUUCAUUCUUGUUUUAAUUUCAGUUUACAGUUCUUGGUAUAUGCAAUUGAUCAAAAAGCAUUCAAACACUAGCAACGUCACUCAAAAUCACAUAGCACAUACUCUCAAGUACUGCUUAAAAAAAAAAUUCAGUUCAGUUGAAAGAGAGAGAUAGAGAGAGAGACUCACCAGUGACGAGAGAGAGAGAGCGUCUCCGAAGAACCCACUCUUCUUCGUCUGUAGAUGUCAAACCGUUGUGGAGGUAAUGGAGCAGAGGAGGACGCUAUUUAUAAGCUCAAAGGUAGAAGUGUACUCCUGAGUCUAAGCAGAAAUGAUGGGUUAAAGUUAAACCAAACUUAAAAUGGCUAAUCUUCCCAGUAAAACUAUAUAUUUGGGUAAAACUGUAAAAUAUAGGGAUAAUUUUUAGCGAAAGACGGGAUCUUUGGGCUAUGCAAAAUGAAGCCCACGAAAAAUGGAUGAUUUUUGAGAUUGAGUUGAAGCAAUUAAUGGAAAAUUUGGUGGAAAAAUCUCAGUUAUCUUGUCUAUCAACUAGUUUCAAGAGGGUUGUAUAAUGGGUUCAUCGACUGAUGCAUUAUUGACUCUAACACCAAUGCCUUCACAAGCAAACCUUCAAAACCA
Molecule: long non-coding RNA, 3884 nt
Filed under: Fragaria vesca (wild strawberry)
Lineage: Eukaryota; Viridiplantae; Streptophyta; Magnoliopsida; Rosales; Rosaceae
Description: long non-coding RNA (FVES_LNC002832)
Source: RNAcentral